GACGAACGCUGGCGGCGUGCCUAAUACAUGCAAGUAGAACGCACAGUUUAUACCGUAGCUUGCUACACCAUAGACUGUGAGUUGCGAACGGGUGAGUAACGCGUAGGUAACCUGCCUGGUAGCGGGGGAUAACUAUUGGAAACGAUAGCUAAUACCGCAUAAUAUUCAUUAUUGCAUGAUAAUUAAUUGAAUGGUGCAAUUGCACCACUACCAGAUGGACCUGCGUUGUAUUAGCUAGUAGGUGAGGUAACGGCUCACCUAGGCGACGAUACAUAGCCGACCUGAGAGGGUGGUCGGCCACACUGGGACUGGGACACGGCCCAGACUCCUACGGGAGGCAGCAGGAGGGAAUCUUCGGCAAUGGACGAAAGUCUGACCGAGCAACGCCGCGUGAGUGAAGAAGGUUUUCGGAUCGUAAAGCUCUGUUGUAAGAGAAGAACGGGUGUGAGAGUGGAAAGUUCACACUGUGACGGUAUCUUACCAGAAAGGGACGGCUAACCACGUG
RNAcentral lists this ribosomal RNA (505 nucleotides) under uncultured bacterium. RNAcentral describes it as "partial 16S ribosomal RNA". It matches the Rfam family "Bacterial small subunit ribosomal RNA", at positions 28 to 507 of the family's 1533-position model. The record is from RNAcentral.